RNAcentral lists this transfer RNA (95 nucleotides) under Candidatus Omnitrophota bacterium. Its description in RNAcentral is "Candidatus Omnitrophica bacterium (sediment metagenome) tRNA-Sec". It matches the Rfam family "Selenocysteine transfer RNA". The record is from RNAcentral. Lineage: Bacteria; Pseudomonadati; Candidatus Omnitrophota.
GGAGGUAUUUAGUGUCUGGUGAUGCUCACAGUCUUCAAAGCUGCUGUGGGGCCGAUAAGGUCCCGGGUGGGUUCGAUUCCCAUAUACCUCCGCCA